This 831-nucleotide ribosomal RNA is filed under the name Triticum aestivum (bread wheat). Its description in RNAcentral is "partial small subunit ribosomal RNA". The record is from RNAcentral. Lineage: Eukaryota; Viridiplantae; Streptophyta; Magnoliopsida; Poales; Poaceae.
AUGUCGAGCGUAGUCGCCGAGACGACCGAGCUCACAAGCACGUUCAACCUGCAGGACUACAUCAGCGUGUUCAAGGACGUGCAAGGCCUCGGCGAGUGCUUGGACGCCAUGCACCACAGGUUUGAGGACUACAUCAGCGUGUUCAAGGACGUGCAAGGCCUCAGCGAGCGCUUGGACGCCAUGCACCGCAGGUUUGAGGUCAUAAUGGAGAUGGUACUUAUGGCGAGGGACGUCAAGCGGCGGCAGCAGUGGGAGAACAACGACACCGCCGGACAUCUCGCGACGGGGACAUACAUGAAGAGGAUCACGGUGGAGCGGGGCCUGUCGGGGUUGGUUAACAACUCGGACCUCCUCCAGAAGAGGCAGUGGCCAAGGAGACGGUGCGUCUGCACCCAACGGCCCCUGGUGGUGAAGUGGUCCCUGGAGCAAUGUAAGGAGAGCGGAUACGACAUACCGGUCGGUGCGGCGGUGUUCAUGAAUGUGUCGCGGUCAGCAACGAAGCAGCUGGAGUUCAGGCACGAAGAGGUUCCUGGAGGGGGGCACGAACGCCGGGACGCAGGUGUGCGGGCAGCAGUUCCACACGAUGUCGUUCUGUGCUUCAAGUGGCAGCCCGCAGGCAGCGCGGCCAAGAUGGACAUGAUGGAGGGGCCUGGGCUGACGCUGCCGCGGAAGCACCGCUCGUCUGCGCCGUCGUGCCGAGGCUCCCCCGCUGCUGCUGCUGCAUGUACAUGCGCCAAUGAAGUAUUUACCGUGGUCCAACCGAACUCACCUAAGGUGCCUGAUAUGAUGUCUCCGGCGACGCCUUCAGCUGCAGCGCUUGCGAGAACAUAA